This 482-nucleotide ribosomal RNA is filed under the name uncultured bacterium. RNAcentral describes it as "partial 16S ribosomal RNA". It matches the Rfam family "Bacterial small subunit ribosomal RNA", at positions 28 to 507 of the family's 1533-position model. The record is from RNAcentral.
GACGAACGCUGGCGGCGUGCUUAACACAUGCAAGUCGAACGAUGAAGAAGAGAAACGCGCCCUUCGGUUCAAAUUUCACUUCGGAUUAGUGGCAGACGGGUGAGUAACGCGUGAGCAACCUACCUCUUACAAAGGGAUAGCCUCGGGAAACCGUGAUUAAUACCAUAUGACACAUUCAUAAGGCAUCUUAAGAAUGUUAAAGCUACGGCGGUAAGGGAUGGGCUCGCGUCCCAUUAGCUAGUUGGUGAGGUAACGGCCCACCAAGGCGACGAUGGGUAACCGGGCUGAGAGGGUGAGCGGUCACACUGGAACUGGGCCACGGUCCAGACUCCUACGGGAGGCAGCAGUGGGGAAUAUUGCACAAUGGAGGGAACUCUGAUGCAGCGACGCCGCGUGAGCGAUGAAGGAAUGCGUUUAGUAAAGCUCUGUUCUAUGGGAAGAAAAGGACUGUACCAUAGGAGAAAGCCCCGGCUAAAUACGUG